CCUACGGGAGGCAGCAGUGGGGGAUAUUGCACAAUGGGCGCAACCCUGAUGCAGCGACGCCGCGUGCACGAUGAAGGGCCUCGGCGCGUAAAGCCCUGUCAGCAGGGAAGAAAAUGACGAUACCUGAAUAAGAGUCCCCGUAUAAUAACGUGCCAGCAGGCGCGGUAAUACGUUGGGUGCAAGGGUUAUCCGGAUUUACUGGGUGUAAAGGGGUCGCAGACGGUGUUGCAAGCCAGGGGUGAAAGCCCGGGGCUCAACCCCGGGACUGCUUUUGGAACUGUGUGGCUGGAGUGUAGGAGGGGUAGGCGGAAUGCCUGGUGUAGCGGUGAAAUGCGUAGAGAUCAGGAGGAACACCGAUGGCGAAGGCGGCUUGCUGGACUGCAACUGACGUUGAGGCACGAAAGCGUGGGGAGCAAACAGGAUUAGAUACCCGUGUAGUC
This 440-nucleotide ribosomal RNA is filed under the name uncultured bacterium. RNAcentral's name for it is "partial 16S ribosomal RNA". It matches the Rfam family "Bacterial small subunit ribosomal RNA", at positions 338 to 795 of the family's 1533-position model. The record is from RNAcentral.